UACGGAGGGUCCAAGCGUUAUCCGGAAUCAUUGGGUUUAAAGGGUCCGUAGGCGGUUUAGUAAGUCAGUGGUGAAAGCCCAUCGCUCAACGGUGGAACGGCCAUUGAUACUGCUAAACUUGAAUUAUUGGGAAGUAACUAGAAUAUGUAGUGUAGCGGUGAAAUGCUUAGAGAUUACAUGGAAUACCAAUUGCGAAGGCAGGUUACUACCAAUAUAUUGACGCUGAUGGACGAAAGCGUGGGGAGCGAACAAG
RNAcentral lists this ribosomal RNA (253 nucleotides) under uncultured bacterium. RNAcentral's name for it is "partial 16S ribosomal RNA". It matches the Rfam family "Bacterial small subunit ribosomal RNA", at positions 524 to 776 of the family's 1533-position model. The record is from RNAcentral.